AGAGUCAGAUACGACUGAGCAGUCGAGCGCACACACACAUCAAAGCUCAGUGAAAACCUUUGAUUACAGUGCGGUCCAUGGGCAACAGUUCCAGUGAAAAGAAGGACUAUCCUACAGCUAUUUGGGGGACAGGCCAUGAAUCUCUAGGGGGACCCCAGGAGUUUACCUGUUUUCUGGGGCUUGAAGACAAAAGCUUCAGAUUUUGAUGAUGAACCGAGGCAGCUCCUUUGGGCUGGUGUGGGGUCUGUCCUGCUGUGCCCCCACCGCCGCAGCUACCCCUCCCCCCAGCCAUAGUCAGAGGAGUCAAGAACAAAAAAUGCUCACCAGGCCACCCUAGUACCCCGCAGGAGCAGCUGGGAGUCACACACACACUGCUCCCCUGCGCUGUCAACCACCCUGCCCAGCUCCCUUGCACACACACCCAGCAUGGGGCUCUCUCUUCUGCAUUGCACAUCUUCUGAAAGGAGGGCCCCUUUCUGAGACUGUAUCACUUCAUUUCACACCCUAAACAAUUAGACAUGAUUUCCCCAAAUGUAAGAGCAGUCAGGAGACCCUAUCCAGAUUAAUCGGCUCUAAGCGGUUAAGGCAGGAAGAGAAGCGAGGAGGGAGAGGGGUGGGGGAAAGGAAAGCAGAGACUCCAAAGUCUUUGUUUCUCUCCCAUCUGGCUGGAAGCCAGAGGCGAAGAUCGAAGAGACCUAUCCUUUGUCCACUGAUCUGACAGUCAGUUCCCACACGGCAAAAUCAAAGUGGAAUGCAUUCACACACUCGUGGCCACAGCUCACAAGGUUACUGAGAAAUCUAAGUCUUCUGUGACUGGUGGAGGCAGGAUUUCUAUGCAGCAUUGCUGUUUUCAAGGUCAUAAUGAAAUUAAGAAAGAGUUCC
Molecule: long non-coding RNA, 882 nt
Filed under: Bos taurus (domestic cattle)
Lineage: Eukaryota; Metazoa; Chordata; Mammalia; Artiodactyla; Bovidae
Description: long non-coding RNA NONBTAT011537
Source: RNAcentral